AUGCAAGUCGAGCGGUUGAAGGUAGCUUGCUACCUGAUGCAGCGGCGAACGGGUGAGUAAUGCAUGGGAAUCUGCCUGGUAGUGGGGGACAACGUCUCGAAAGGGACGCUAAUACCGCAUACGCCCUACGGGGGAAAGGGGGGGAUCUUCGGACCUCUCGCUAUCAGAUGAGCCCAUGUCAGAUUAGCUUGUUGGUGAGGUAAAGGCUCACCAAGGCGACGAUCUGUAACUGGUCUGAGAGGAUGAUCAGUCACACUGGAACUGAGACACGGUCCAGACUCCUACGGGAGGCAGCAGUGGGGAAUAUUGGACAAUGGGCGAAAGCCUGAUCCAGCCAUGCCGCGUGUGUGAAGAAGGCCCUAGGGUUGUAAAGCACUUUCAGUGGGGAGAAAAGUGAUUCACUUAAUACGUGAGUUAAUUGAUGUUACCCACAGAAGAAGCACCGGCUAACUCCGUGCCAGCAGCCGCGGUAAUACGGAGGGUGCAAGCGUUAAUCGGAAUUACUGGGCGUAAAGCGCACGUAGGUGGUUUGUUAAGCUAGCCGUGAAAUCCCCGGGCUCAACCUGGGCACUGCGGUUAGAACUGGCAAGCUAGAGUAGGGUAGAGGGGUGUGGAAUUCCAGGUGUAGCGGUGAAAUGCGUAGAUAUCUGGAGGAACAUCAGUGGCGAAGGCGACACCCUGGACUCAUACUGACACUGAG
RNAcentral lists this ribosomal RNA (700 nucleotides) under uncultured bacterium. Its description in RNAcentral is "bacterial SSU rRNA". It matches the Rfam family "Bacterial small subunit ribosomal RNA", at positions 55 to 750 of the family's 1533-position model. The record is from RNAcentral.